This is a long non-coding RNA of Salvelinus namaycush (lake trout), 472 nucleotides long. RefSeq lists it as uncharacterized. The transcript has 4 exons. The record is from RefSeq and is a predicted model, not a curated record. Lineage: Eukaryota; Metazoa; Chordata; Actinopteri; Salmoniformes; Salmonidae.
UAGCAUCUUCGACUACUCACAUCACUUGACUUGUGGUAGAAUGUUCAAUUUUCGUCGCGGAAAUUUGCAGAGUUACUCCUUUAUUUUCCCUGUCUCGUCAUAGCGACUACCAAUCUGACACCAUGUUAUGUGUGUUCUUUAUAUAAUGACAAACCGGGGCGUAGGUUUAACUACUUUUAAUGAACAUAUACUUCAGCUAGAAAACUCCAUGUUUAGCCAUACAAGGCAUUCUUCAACCACCUGCAUAGCCUGCUGGAAGAAGAAAGGAGCAUCUGCGGACCAGAAGACUGCAGCCAAGGCAGCACUGGUCCACACCUGCAUGUCUGUCUGGUCUAAUUCCUGAAAUGGAAAAGCAGAAGAGUCUGUGCGCUCUUGGAAAGUUAUAAAAGUUAAUAUGGUGCUCUUUGAUGUCCCAGUAAGAGCAUUGAAGAUGCUGGUCUUCCAGCCUGACAACGACCCGAAACACACAGCC